CCGGCACGGGUGAGUAACACGUAUCCAACCUGCCGUCUACUCUUGGCCAGCCUUCUGAAAGGAAGAUUAAUCCAGGAUGGCAUCAUGAGUUCACAUGUCCGCAUGAUUAAAGGUAUUUUCCGGUAGACGAUGGGGAUGCGUUCCAUUAGAUAGUAGGCGGGGUAACGGCCCACCUAGUCAACGAUGGAUAGGGGUUCUGAGAGGAAGGUCCCCCACAUUAGAACUGAGACACGGUCCAA
RNAcentral lists this ribosomal RNA (239 nucleotides) under uncultured bacterium. RNAcentral's name for it is "partial 16S ribosomal RNA". It matches the Rfam family "Bacterial small subunit ribosomal RNA", at positions 100 to 334 of the family's 1533-position model. The record is from RNAcentral.